CCUACGGGAGGCAGCAGUGAGGAAUAUUGGUCAAUGGACGAGAGUCUGAACCAGCCAAGUAGCGUGAAGGAUGACUGCCCUAUGGGUUGUAAACUUCUUUUAUAUGGGAAUAAAACGUUCCACGUGUGGGAUUUUGUAUGUACCAUAUGAAUAAGGAUCGGCUAACUCCGUGCCAGCAGCCGCGGUCAUACGGAGGAUCCGAGCGUUAUCCGGAUUUAUUGGGUUUAAAGGGAGCGUAGGUGGAUUGUUAAGUCAGUUGUGAAAGUUUGCGGCUCAACCGUAAAAUUGCAGUUGAAACUGGCAGUCUUGAGUACAGUAGAGGUGGGCGGAAUUCGUGGUGUAGCGGUGAAAUGCUUAGAUAUCACGAAGAACUCCGAUUGCGAAGGCAGUUCACUGGACUGCAACUGACACUGAGGCUCGAAAGUGUGGGUAUCAAACAGGAUUAGAUACCCCAGUAGUC
This 460-nucleotide ribosomal RNA is filed under the name uncultured bacterium. RNAcentral's name for it is "partial 16S ribosomal RNA". It matches the Rfam family "Bacterial small subunit ribosomal RNA", at positions 338 to 795 of the family's 1533-position model. The record is from RNAcentral.